RNAcentral lists this ribosomal RNA (492 nucleotides) under uncultured Brevundimonas sp. RNAcentral's name for it is "bacterial SSU rRNA". It matches the Rfam family "Bacterial small subunit ribosomal RNA", at positions 92 to 619 of the family's 1533-position model. Lineage: Bacteria; Pseudomonadati; Pseudomonadota; Alphaproteobacteria; Caulobacterales; Caulobacteraceae. The record is from RNAcentral.
UUAGUGGCGGACGGGUGAGUAACACGUGGGAACGUGCCUUUAGGUUCGGAAUAGCUCCUGGAAACGGGUGGUAAUGCCGAAUGUGCCCUUCGGGGGAAAGAUUUAUCGCCUUUAGAGCGGCCCGCGUCUGAUUAGCUAGUUGGUGAGGUAAUGGCUCACCAAGGCGACGAUCAGUAGCUGGUCUGAGAGGAUGACCAGCCACAUUGGGACUGAGACACGGCCCAAACUCCUACGGGAGGCAGCAGUGGGGAAUCUUGCGCAAUGGGCGAAAGCCUGACGCAGCCAUGCCGCGUGAAUGAUGAAGGUCUUAGGAUUGUAAAAUUCUUUCACCGGGGACGAUAAUGACGGUACCCGGAGAAGAAGCCCCGGCUAACUUCGUGCCAGCAGCCGCGGUAAUACGAAGGGGGCUAGCGUUGCUCGGAAUUACUGGGCGUAAAGGGCGCGUAGGCGGACAUUUAAGUCAGGGGUGAAAUCCCAGAGCUCAACUCUGGA